This 888-nucleotide ribosomal RNA is filed under the name uncultured bacterium. RNAcentral describes it as "bacterial SSU rRNA". It matches the Rfam family "Bacterial small subunit ribosomal RNA", at positions 60 to 936 of the family's 1533-position model. The record is from RNAcentral.
AGUCGAGGGGCAGCACAACUUUCGGGUUGGUGGCGACCGGCGGACGGGUGCGUAACGCGUAUGCAACCUACCUUCAGCAGGGGUAUAGCCCGUGGAAACAUGGAUUAAUCCCCCAUAAUGCAGGGGUCCCGCAUGGGACUAUUUGCUAAAGUCCCGAUGCAAAUCGGGAUGGCUGAAGAUGGGCAUGCGUCUGAUUAGCUAGUUGGUGAGGUAACGGCUCACCAAGGCGACGAUCAGUAGGGGUUCUGAGAGGAUGAUCCCCCACACUGGUACUGAGACACGGACCAGACUCCUACGGGAGGCAGCAGUAGGGAAUAUUGGGCAAUGGGCGAGAGCCUGACCCAGCCAUGCCGCGUGCAGGAUGACGGCCUUCUGGGUUGUAAACUGCUUUUAUCAGGGAAGAAAGGGGCGCUGCGGCGCCAGUUGACUGUACCUGAAGAAUAAGCACCGGCUAACUCCGUGCCAGCAGCCGCGGUAAUACGGAGGGUGCAAGCGUUGUCCGGAUUUAUUGGGCUUAAAGGGUGCGUAGGCGGAUUAUUAAGUCAGUGGUGAAAGACUGCGGCUCAACCGUAGCAGUGCCAUUGAUACUGGUAAUCUUGAGUACAGUGGAGGUAGGCGGAAUUUAUGGUGUAGCGGUGAAAUGCAUAGAUACCAUAAAGAACACCGAUAGCGUAGGCAGCUUACUACGCUGUAACUGACGCUGAGGCACGAAAGCGUGGGGAGCGAACAGGAUUAGAUACCCUGGUAGUCCACGCUGUAAACGAUGAAGACUCGCUGUUGGCGAUAUACUGUCAGUGGCCAAGCGAAAGCGUUAAGUCUUCCACCUGGGGAGUACGAUCGCAAGAUUGAAACUCAAAGGAAUUGACGGGGGUCCGCACAAGCGGUGGA